Molecule: unclassified non-coding RNA, 577 nt
Filed under: Hevea brasiliensis (rubber tree)
Lineage: Eukaryota; Viridiplantae; Streptophyta; Magnoliopsida; Malpighiales; Euphorbiaceae
Source: RNAcentral
AUAGAUAGUAGGACUAUUUAAUUUAACAGAAUUAAACUGUAUGGAUUAAUUAAUGUAAUUCUCAAAAUAAAAUGACUGCUUUGUGGAUAAUAAUAAUAAUAAUAAUAUUGAAAGAUUACAUAAUAAUUCUUCCUAGAAUAUUGAUAAAAAAAAUUCUUCCUAGAAAUAAAAAUAAAUAAACAUCAGUAAGAAAAGAAAAGAUCCACUUCAAAGUCCUUAGCAACUAUUACCUUAAAAUCUACGUUUUGAGUUUCAACUUGUGUAAAAAAAGUGUGAGCUUCUCUCUUUCUAACCUUCUACAGAGAGAAUUCUCCUUUUUUUUUUGGUUGUGUUUGUUGUGGGGUAAUUGCCAUCUUUUUUGCCUUAGAGGCUUCUGUUGCCCCUACUGGGCAAGGAGGCUCCUCCCUGAUCGAUUCUGUGGAUCUUACCUUCUCCUCACCGGGUUGGGCUGUUUUGUUUGCUUUGUCUGUUAGCUUCACAGGUAUGAGGUUAAGUGAGAGGGUGUUGUAUGGUAGACCUGUGCUGUAUUUUCUUGGUGUUUGGGUGGCGUGCUGUAUUUUCUUGGUGUUUGGGUGGC